Molecule: ribosomal RNA, 403 nt
Filed under: Verrucomicrobiota bacterium
Lineage: Bacteria; Pseudomonadati; Verrucomicrobiota
Description: Verrucomicrobia bacterium partial 16S ribosomal RNA
Rfam family: Bacterial small subunit ribosomal RNA
Source: RNAcentral
UGGGGAAUAUUGCACAAUGGGCGCAAGCCUGAUGCAGCAACGCCGCGUGAACGAUGAAGGUCUUCGGAUCGUAAAGUUCUGUUGCAGGGGAAGAUAAUGACGGUACCCUGUGAGGAAGCCCCGGCUAACUACGUGCCAGCAGCCGCGGUAAUACGUAGGGGGCUAGCGUUAUCUGGAUUUACUGGGCGUAAAGGGUGCGUAGGUGGUCUUUCAAGUCGGUGGUUAAAGGCUACGGCUCAACCGUAGUUAGCCUCCGAAACUGGAAGACUUGAGUGCAGGAGAGGAAAGUGGAAUUCCCAGUGUAGCGGUGAAAUGCGUAGAUAUUGGGAGGAACACCAGUAGCGAAGGCGGCUAUCUGGACAGUAACUGACGCUGAGGCGCGAAAGCGUGGGUAGCAAACAGG